GACGAACGCUGGCGGCGUGCUUAACACAUGCAAGUCGAACGGAAAGGCCCUGCUUUUGUGGGGUGCUCGAGUGGCGAACGGGUGAGUAACACGUGAGUAACCUACCCUUGACUUUGGGAUAACUUCAGGAAACUGGGGCUAAUACCGGAUAGGAGCUCCUGCUGCAUGGUGGGGGUUGGAAAGUUUCGGCGGUUGGGGAUGGACUCGCGGCUUAUCAGCUUGUUGGUGGGGUAGUGGCUUACCAAGGCUUUGACGGGUAGCCGGCCUGAGAGGGUGACCGGCCACAUUGGGACUGAGAUACGGCCCAGACUCCUACGGGAGGCAGCAGUGGGGGAUAUUGCACAAUGGGCGGAAGCCUGAUGCAGCAACGCCGCGUGCGGGAUGACGGCCUUCGGGUUGUAAACCGCUUUCGCCUGUGACGAAGCGUGAGUGACGGUAAUGGGUAAAGAAGCACCGGCUAACUACGUG
This 468-nucleotide ribosomal RNA is filed under the name uncultured bacterium. Its description in RNAcentral is "partial 16S ribosomal RNA". It matches the Rfam family "Bacterial small subunit ribosomal RNA", at positions 28 to 507 of the family's 1533-position model. The record is from RNAcentral.